UACGUAGGGUGCAAGCGUUAAUCGGAAUUACUGGGCGUAAAGCGUGCGCAGGCGGUUAUGUAAGACAGAUGUGAAAUCCCCGGGCUCAACCUGGGAACUGCAUUUGUGACUGCAUAGCUAGAGUACGGCAGAGGGGGAUGGAAUUCCGCGUGUAGCAGUGAAAUGCGUAGAUAUGCGGAGGAACACCGAUGGCGAAGGCAAUCCCCUGGGCCUGUACUGACGCUCAUGCACGAAAGCGUGGGGAGCAAACAGGAUUAGAUACCCUGGUAGUCCACGCCCUAAACGAUGUCAACUGGUUGUUGGGAAUUCACUUUCUCAGUAACGAAGCUAACGCGUGAAGUUGACCGCCUGGGGAGUACGGCCGCAAGGUUGAA
RNAcentral lists this ribosomal RNA (374 nucleotides) under uncultured bacterium. RNAcentral's name for it is "bacterial SSU rRNA". It matches the Rfam family "Bacterial small subunit ribosomal RNA", at positions 524 to 898 of the family's 1533-position model. The record is from RNAcentral.